RNAcentral lists this unclassified non-coding RNA (212 nucleotides) under Hevea brasiliensis (rubber tree). Lineage: Eukaryota; Viridiplantae; Streptophyta; Magnoliopsida; Malpighiales; Euphorbiaceae. The record is from RNAcentral.
AAAAAUUUAUAAAAUAUAAGGUUGUGUUGUGAUAUUUAUUGAUAAAAAUGUUGUAAAUUAUUAUUUAGGAAUUAAAAUUUUGUGGUUUUUUGAGGAGGAGUGGUUUAGGAUAUUUUGAGUUAGUGUUUGUGGUGAUUUUAUAUAAUGGAGUUAUAUUAAAAUGAGAGUUAGUAGUAUAUAUUUAAUAGUAGUUAAUAAAUUUAUUAGAGUAA